UGGGCUGUGGCUCAGUGGCAGAGCACUUACCUCGCAUACAGGAGGCCCUGGGCUCGACCCUCAGCACCACAU
RNAcentral lists this transfer RNA (72 nucleotides) under Ictidomys tridecemlineatus (thirteen-lined ground squirrel). Its description in RNAcentral is "Spermophilus tridecemlineatus (thirteen-lined ground squirrel) tRNA". It matches the Rfam family "tRNA". Rfam says of the family: Transfer RNA (tRNA) molecules are approximately 80 nucleotides in length. Lineage: Eukaryota; Metazoa; Chordata; Mammalia; Rodentia; Sciuridae. The record is from Rfam by way of RNAcentral.